RNAcentral lists this ribosomal RNA (253 nucleotides) under uncultured bacterium. RNAcentral's name for it is "partial 16S ribosomal RNA". It matches the Rfam family "Bacterial small subunit ribosomal RNA", at positions 524 to 776 of the family's 1533-position model. The record is from RNAcentral.
UACGUAGGGGGCAAGCGUUGUCCGGAUUUAUUGGGCGUAAAGAGCGUGUAGGCGGUUUGGUAGGUCCGUUGUGAAAACUCGAGGCUCAACCUCGAGACGCCGAUGGAAACCAUCAGACUAGAGUCCGGAAGAGGAGAGUGGAAUUCCUGGUGUAGCGGUGAAAUGCGCAGAUAUCAGGAAGAACACCAACGGCGAAAGCACUCUGCUGGGCCGACACUGACACUGAGAGACGAAAGCUAGGGGAGCGAAUGGG